GUGGGUACAGCUCAGUGAUAGAGCACAUGCUUAGCAUGCAUGAGGUCCUGGGUUCAAUUUCCAGUACCUCCA
This 72-nucleotide transfer RNA is filed under the name Camelus bactrianus (Bactrian camel). It matches the Rfam family "tRNA". From Rfam's summary of the family: Transfer RNA (tRNA) molecules are approximately 80 nucleotides in length. Their secondary structure includes four short double-helical elements and three loops (D, anti-codon, and T loops). RNAcentral also lists the same sequence under 3 other names. Lineage: Eukaryota; Metazoa; Chordata; Mammalia; Artiodactyla; Camelidae. The record is from Rfam by way of RNAcentral.